Molecule: ribosomal RNA, 492 nt
Filed under: uncultured bacterium
Lineage: Bacteria
Description: partial 16S ribosomal RNA
Rfam family: Bacterial small subunit ribosomal RNA
Source: RNAcentral
AGUGAACGCUGGCGGUAGGCCUAACACAUGCAAGUCGAACGGCAGCACAGUAAGAGCUUGCUCUUACGGGUGGCGAGUGGCGGACGGGUGAGGAAUACAUCGGAAUCUACUUUUUCGUGGGGGAUAACGUAGGGAAACUUACGCUAAUACCGCAUACGACCUACGGGUGAAAGCAGGGGAUCUUCGGACCUUGCGCGAUUGAAUGAGCCGAUGUCGGAUUAGCUAGUUGGCGGGGUAAAGGCCCACCAAGGCGACGAUCCGUAGCUGGUCUGAGAGGAUGAUCAGCCACACCGGAACUGAGCCACGGUCCAGACUCCUACGGGAGGCAGCAGUGGGGAAUAUUGGACACUGGGCGCAAGCCUGAUCCAGCCAUACCGCGUGUGUGAAGAAGGCCUUCGGGUUGUAAAGCCCUUUUGUUGGGAAAGAAAAGCAGCAGGUUAAUACCCCGCUGUUCUGACGGUACCCAAAGAAUAAGCACCGGCUAACUUCGUG